Archocentrus centrarchus (flier cichlid) is the source of this 628-nucleotide long non-coding RNA. RefSeq lists it as uncharacterized. Lineage: Eukaryota; Metazoa; Chordata; Actinopteri; Cichliformes; Cichlidae. The transcript is spliced from 4 exons. The record is from RefSeq and is a predicted model, not a curated record.
ACCGUCACUCUGCGCCCACUCACCUGAGGGUUAGCACAGAGGUUUUCAGGCUGUGCUGAAUUCGGAUAUGUGUGCAGAGAUAGUGUUUCCCACAGUCCGAGUCACCGUGACUGACGUGGAUGCCGAGCAGGCUGCAGGGACCGUGUGGAGGAAAGCUGCUUUGAUGCUGCAGCUCAGUCAGACAGCGACACCCUGUGGUAGAGUUUGAAAUCCCACUCUGGAUCGCAGCAGUGAAACAGUGCCGCCCUGUGGCAGGCUCAAAGUGAAACCAGAGAACCAGGAACAGACUCAGACCGGCUCUCACUGAGCCCCUGUGACAGAUUACAGAUAUAUAACCAAGCCUGCAGCACCCAGAGGUGUUUGAGCUGCUGUUUCCUGCCAGCUUGAACCCACUUUAAGCCUCUCUUCUCCAGCUAACCCUGGCUCUGCCAGCAUCCAGGCCAGAUGGCCUUAAAUUCCUGAGACGUGCUUGGGGUUGUUGUGUUACUUCGGUAGCACAUAUACUAAAAUUGGAACGAUACAGAGAAGAUUAGCAUGGCCCCUACACGCAAAUUCGUGAAGCGUUCCUCAUUUUCCUUUUUUUUAAUCAAAAUUCAGAGUCAACCUUUGAUUGGAUUUGCUGCAGUUU